This is a non-coding RNA of Brachypodium distachyon (stiff brome), 136 nucleotides long. The record is from Rfam. Lineage: Eukaryota; Viridiplantae; Streptophyta; Magnoliopsida; Poales; Poaceae.
UUGUUACUACCUCCGUUCAACAAAAGAUGUCUCAAGUUUGUCAAAAUUUGGAUGUAUCUAGACAUGACUUGGUGUAUAGAUUCAUUCAAAUUUGGUCAAAGUUGAAACAUCCUUUGUUGGACGGAGAGAGUAUUAU